AGUAUCGUGACUCAAUGGCUAGAGUGCUCGACUGUCUCUCGAGAAGUUGCGGGUUCGAAUCCCGUCGGUACUG
This 73-nucleotide transfer RNA is filed under the name Kordia aestuariivivens. RNAcentral describes it as "Kordia sp. YSTF-M3 tRNA-Asp". It matches the Rfam family "tRNA". Rfam says of the family: Transfer RNA (tRNA) molecules are approximately 80 nucleotides in length. The record is from RNAcentral. RNAcentral also lists the same sequence under 1 other name. Lineage: Bacteria; Pseudomonadati; Bacteroidota; Flavobacteriia; Flavobacteriales; Flavobacteriaceae.